AAUGAAGUGCCUGAUAAAAAGGACUAUUUUGAUAGAAUAGAUUAUGUAUGAAUUUACCUUCAUUA
This 65-nucleotide transfer RNA is filed under the name Tenebrionoidea sp. 16 KM-2017. Its description in RNAcentral is "tRNA-Ile". The record is from RNAcentral. Lineage: Eukaryota; Metazoa; Arthropoda; Insecta; Coleoptera.